This is an RNA transcript of Capsicum annuum, 1728 nucleotides long. It is a transcript of the gene named translin-associated protein X, with no coding region annotated. Lineage: Eukaryota; Viridiplantae; Streptophyta; Magnoliopsida; Solanales; Solanaceae. The record is from RefSeq and is a predicted model, not a curated record. The transcript has 9 exons.
UGAAACUAAGAGGAGGGAGGAAAAAGAAAAAAAGAGAAAGAACGAGAGCUAAUCAGAAGAUGGUAAACAUUUUUUUUUUUGGGCGCUGAAAGGACACAUGUUGUUUUACGCCUCCAAGUUGUCAUUCCUACUCAUGGCUCCAAAACCUCAACGCAUUCGUCACAUGGUGGGAACAACUUGGCAAAGCGCGAUGAAGAAGGCGAGGACAAUGAGUACUGAUGAUACUGAGACUGAUUCAUCAAUGAAAGACGCCUUCUCCAAAUAUGCUGAUUACCUCAAUAACAUUAAUGAUAAACGGGAAAGGGUAGUGAAAGCUAGUCGUGAUAUUACUAUGAAUAGCAAGAAGGUUAUUUUUCAAGUGCACAGAAUGAGCAAGCAGAACAAAGAGGAAGUUCUGGAUAAAGCAGUAAACGAUCUGAAAGCUGUAACUGAUCAAUAUUUGUCCCGGCUAGUAAAGGAACUACAAGGGACUGAUUUCUGGAAGCUAAGACGAGCAUAUUCACCUGGGGUCCAAGAAUAUGUUGAAGCUGCAACGCUUUGUAAUUUCUGUAAGACAGGGACUCUAUUAACUCUUGAUGAGAUAAAUGCGACCUUGCUCCCAUUAAGUGAUCCUUCUGUUGAACCUUUGCAGAUUAACAUCUUAGACUAUAUGUUAGGGCUUGCGGACUUGACAGGAGAAUUAAUGAGGUUAGCAAUCGGUCGAAUUUCUGAAGGGGAACUUGAUUUUGCUGAGAAGAUCUGCAGUUUUGUGCGUGAAAUUUACAGGAACCUUACUCUUAUUGCCCCGGAGAUGGAUGAUAGUUCAGACAUGAAACAGAAAAUGGAAACAAUGCUCCAGAGUGUAAUGAAGAUAGAAAAUGGUAGUCGGGUAUUCAGGUUCCAUCUGGAUCCUGAAAAGGUCAAUAUCUGUAUUUAGUUUUGGACAAAGUGGAUAGAAUCUGGGAAAAACUUGAGGCGCAUCUCUUAUGCAACUGAUUGUUCUGCAGCUUGUUUUAGUGUUCAUGUAAGAGGAUCGGAGUAUAUUCCUCUUCUUGGAUCUGCUGACACCAGUUAUCCACUGUUGGGCAUGCUAGACAUUGAAUGAAGAGGCAGAAAGAGAAGUGCUCGUUUGCUGUUAAAGUAGCUCCCUCCCUCAUACACAAAUGUGCAUAGCGUCAAACUGGAGAGAAAAAGAACUUUAGGAAUGGAUGCACUUCCACAUGUGCUUUUGCAAAGUUCCUGGGCACAAUGUGUCUUUGUAGGGGAAAUUGCAGAGCUUGUAAUUACUCUAGUCCAGCUACUGAACUAUAUGCGACUAUGUAGGGGAAAUUGCGCAGCUUACAAGUACUCUAGUUCACCAACUGACCUACAAAAUGGAUCUCAAAUUCCCGAAGAUUCUUCUCUCUUUAUCUUUUCUUGAAUAUUUUUGCACUCACCUCCCUCUAUUCCGUUGUGUAUUUUACACCUCUCGGAAUCAUCCGAUGAAACUUCGAUCGGGUUAAUAUCUUAUGUGGUGUUUAUGCAUUAGUCUUUUUAGGGUCUCUUGUAGUUUGGUCAACUGUUUGCUUUGUCAGAUACAUUUUCCUCCUUGUUCUCGAAAUGGUUGCGAUGGUUAUUUUUUGUUUUUGUUGUAUUUCCACUUAGUCAUGUAUAUGUUAUAUGAUGUGAAUCACAACUUUGAAACUUAGGAUCUCAUUCUCAUUCUUUCUGGCUUGAAGGAAAAUAUGAGGAUAUUCAUUAUUUUUAUCA